This is a long non-coding RNA of Armigeres subalbatus, 446 nucleotides long. RefSeq lists it as uncharacterized. Lineage: Eukaryota; Metazoa; Arthropoda; Insecta; Diptera; Culicidae. The transcript is spliced from 3 exons. The record is from RefSeq and is a predicted model, not a curated record.
CAACAAAACUUCACACAAAUUUUGAACCCGGUGCGGUGCCUCGACUGCAGCAUUUUUUUUUCAGAUUGCUAAUCGAUGGCCGACUUAUCGUGCAACGGAAAACGGAAGAUUUACUAAAGCUAUAACGAGGCGGCCCAUCUUAUAAUUCGCCCCACAUAACGCCGAAUGCCGAAUAUUGAUUGGCAGACAACUAUACUUUGAUUUACCGGUGACACAAUUUUGUUACGCGAAAGCUUACAUCACUGAUGGCCAUAUCCUUUAUCCUCGGAAGUCGUCGUCAUUGGAUGCGGAAAAGAUGUGGCACCCAUCAUCGACCGAUCGGGGGAUCUACCAGAAGAGAGCUGCCGGAAGGAGAAGCACUCGGUGAAUACAAGUACAUACAAUGAAAUAAUAAGUGCAUAAAUUCAAAUCCGAAUGACAAUUAAAAUACAUCUAUCUAAAAUGUG